RNAcentral lists this ribosomal RNA (248 nucleotides) under uncultured bacterium. RNAcentral's name for it is "partial 16S ribosomal RNA". It matches the Rfam family "Bacterial small subunit ribosomal RNA", at positions 526 to 776 of the family's 1533-position model. The record is from RNAcentral.
UACGGGGGGCAAGCGUUGUUCGGAAUUACUGGGCGUAAAGGGCUCGUAGGUGGCCAACUAAGUCAGACGUGAAAUCCCUCAGCUUAAACUGGGAACUGCGUCUGAUACUGGAUGGCUUGAGUUGGGAGAGGGAUGCGGAAUUCCAGGUGUAGCGGUGAAAUGCGUAGAUAUCUGGAGGAACACCGGUGGCGAAGGCGGCAUCCUGGACCAACACUGACACUGAUGAGCGAAGCCAGGGAGCAAACGGG